RNAcentral lists this ribosomal RNA (498 nucleotides) under uncultured bacterium. Its description in RNAcentral is "partial 16S ribosomal RNA". It matches the Rfam family "Bacterial small subunit ribosomal RNA", at positions 30 to 523 of the family's 1533-position model. The record is from RNAcentral.
AUUGAACGCUGGCGGCAUGCCUUACACAUGCAAGUCGAACGGUAACAGGUCUUCGGAUGCUGACGAGUGGCGAACGGGUGAGUAAUACAUCGGAACGUGCCUAGUAGUGGGGGAUAACUACUCGAAAGAGUGGCUAAUACCGCAUGAGAUCUACGGAUGAAAGCAGGGGAUCGCAAGACCUUGUGCUACUAGAGCGGCCGAUGGCAGAUUAGGUAGUUGGUGGGAUAAAAGCUUACCAAGCCGACGAUCAGUAGCUGGUCUGAGAGGACGAUCAGCCACACUGGGACGGAGACACGGCCCAGACUCCUACGGGAGGCAGCAGUGGGGAAUUUUGGACAAUGGGCGAAAGCCUGAUCCAGCAAUGCCGCGUGCAGGAUGGAGGCCUUCGGGUUGUAAACUGCUUUUGUACGGAACGAAAAGCCCCGGGUUAAUACCCUGGGGUCAUGACGGUACCGUAAGAAUAAGCACCGGCUAACUACGUGCCAGCCGCCGCCGUAA